RNAcentral lists this ribosomal RNA (1347 nucleotides) under uncultured bacterium. RNAcentral describes it as "bacterial SSU rRNA". It matches the Rfam family "Bacterial small subunit ribosomal RNA", at positions 28 to 1381 of the family's 1533-position model. The record is from RNAcentral.
GACGAACGCUGGCGGCGUGCUUAACACAUGCAAGUCGAACGAUGAAGCCUAGCUUGCUAGGUGGAUUAGUGGCGAACGGGUGAGUAAUACGCGAGUAACCUACCUUUAACUCUGGGAUAAGCCCGGGAAACUGGGUCUAAUACCGGAUACGACCAAUCUCCGCAUGGGGUGUUGGUGGAAAGCGUUAUGUAGUGGUUAUAGAUGGGCUCACGGCCUAUCAGCUUGUUGGUGAGGUAACGGCUCACCAAGGCGACGACGGGUAGCCGGCCUGAGAGGGUGACCGGCCACACUGGGACUGAGACACGGCCCAGACUCCUACGGGAGGCAGCAGUGGGGAAUAUUGCACAAUGGGCGCAAGCCUGAUGCAGCGACGCCGCGUGAGGGAUGACGGCCUUCGGGUUGUAAACCUCUGUUAGCAGGGAAGAAAAGAGAUUGACGGUACCUGCAGAGAAAGCGCCGGCUAACUACGUGCCAGCAGCCGCGGUAAUACGUAGGGCGCGAGCGUUGUCCGGAAUUAUUGGGCGUAAAGAGCUUGUAGGCGGUUUGUCGCGUCUGCUGUGAAGGCCGGAGCUUAACUCCGUGUAUUGCAGUGGGUACGGGCAGACUAGAGUGCAGUAGGGGAGACUGGAAUUCCUGGUGUAGCGGUGGAAUGCGCAGAUAUCAGGAGGAACACCGAUGGCGAAGGCAGGUCUCUGGGCUGUAACUGACGCUGAGAAGCGAAAGCAUGGGGAGCGAACAGGAUUAGAUACCCUGGUAGUCCAUGCCGUAAACGUUGGGCACUAGGUGUGGGGAACAUUCCACGUUUUCCGCGCCGUAGCUAACGCAUUAAGUGCCCCGCCUGGGGAGUACGGCCGCAAGGCUAAAACUCAAAGAAAUUGACGGGGGCCCGCACAAGCGGCGGAGCAUGCGGAUUAAUUCGAUGCAACGCGAAGAACCUUACAAAGGCUUGACAUAUACUGGACCGCAUCAGAGAUGGUGUUUCCCUUCGGGGCCGGUAUACAGGUGGUGCAUGGUUGUCGUCAGCUCGUGUCGUGAGAUGUUGGGUUAAGUCCCGCAACGAGCGCAACCCUCGUUCUAUGUUGCCAGCACGUUAUGGUGGGGACCCAUAGGAGACUGCCGGGGUCAACUCGGAGGAAGGUGGGGAUGACGUCAAAUCAUCAUGCCCCUUAUGUCUUGGGCUUCACGCAUGCUACAAUGGCCGGUACAGAGGGUUGCGAUACUGUGAGGUGGAGCUAAUCCCUAAAAGCCGGUCUCAGUUCGGAUUGGGGUCUGCAACUCGACCCCAUGAAGUCGGAGUCGCUAGUAAUCGCAGAUCAGCAACGCUGCGGUGAAUACGUUCCCGGGCCU